GAAAACUAUUAAAGAGACUAGAACUAUGAAGCUUAUGCUAUACGGUAUCCGAAUUCGUUCACUAAAUUAAGUUUGUUCAGGUAUGUGAGUGUUAUUUACGAAAUGCGAUGCAUCAUUGUAUCAACACACAUCCCAAAUAGACAUGUGAUGCAUCAUUGUACACAGUAAACUCUUUUCCAGACUCUAGCUGUAUCAAAUCAAGGGCUUCAGUCAAUACAAUUUUGAGCUUCUCGAAGCUUUCUUACUAGGCAUCAGUUAAAUGC
RNAcentral lists this long non-coding RNA (263 nucleotides) under Gossypium barbadense (sea-island cotton). Its description in RNAcentral is "long non-coding RNA (GBAR_LNC007142)". Lineage: Eukaryota; Viridiplantae; Streptophyta; Magnoliopsida; Malvales; Malvaceae. The record is from RNAcentral.